Molecule: ribosomal RNA, 497 nt
Filed under: Lactiplantibacillus plantarum
Lineage: Bacteria; Bacillati; Bacillota; Bacilli; Lactobacillales; Lactobacillaceae
Description: bacterial SSU rRNA
Rfam family: Bacterial small subunit ribosomal RNA
Source: RNAcentral
UCGAACGAACUCUGGUAUUGAUUGGUGCUUGCAUCAUGAUUUACAUUUGAGUGAGUGGCGAACUGGUGAGUAACACGUGGGAAACCUGCCCAGAAGCGGGGGAUAACACCUGGAAACAGAUGCUAAUACCGCAUAACAACUUGGACCGCAUGGUCCGAGYUUGAAAGAUGGCUUCGGCUAUCACUUUUGGAUGGUCCCGCGGCGUAUUAGCUAGAUGGUGGGGUAACGGCUCACCAUGGCAAUGAUACGUAGCCGACCUGAGAGGGUAAUCGGCCACAUUGGGACUGAGACACGGCCCAAACUCCUACGGGAGGCAGCAGUAGGGAAUCUUCCACAAUGGACGAAAGUCUGAUGGAGCAACGCCGCGUGAGUGAAGAAGGGUUUCGGCUCGUAAAACUCUGUUGUUAAAGAAGAACAUAUCUGAGAGUAACUGUUCAGGUAUUGACGGUAUUUAACCAGAAAGCCACGGCUAACUACGUGCCAGCMGCCGCGGUAAU